RNAcentral lists this ribosomal RNA (497 nucleotides) under uncultured bacterium. RNAcentral describes it as "partial 16S ribosomal RNA". It matches the Rfam family "Bacterial small subunit ribosomal RNA", at positions 28 to 507 of the family's 1533-position model. The record is from RNAcentral.
GAUGAACGCUGGCGGCGUGCCUAAUACAUGCAAGUCGAGCGAACAGACGAGGAGCUUGCUCCUCUCACGUUAGCGGCGGACGGGUGAGUAACGCGUGGAUAACGUACCUAUAAUUCUGGGAUCACUUCGGGAAACCGGCUCUAAUACCGGAUAAUAUAUUGCACCGCAUGGUUCAAUAGUGAAAGUCGGUUUUGCUGUCACUUAUCGAUGGAUCCGCGCCGCUUUGGCUAGUUGGUAAGGUAACGGCUUACCAAGGCAACGAUGCGUAGACGACCGCUGUGACGGAUAGCCGGCCUGGGAACGGAGACAGCGUCCAGACGCCUACGGGAGGCAGCAGUAGCGAAUCGUCCGCAAUAGUGGGAAGCCUGACGCAGCAACCGCGAGUGAGUUGUGAAGAUCUUCGGAGCGUAAAGCUCUGUUAUGAGGGAAGAACAAAUGUGUAAGGAACUAUGCACGGAUUGACGGUACCGAAUCAGAAAGCCACGGCUAACUACGUG